Malaya genurostris is the source of this 1224-nucleotide long non-coding RNA. RefSeq lists it as uncharacterized. Lineage: Eukaryota; Metazoa; Arthropoda; Insecta; Diptera; Culicidae. The transcript is spliced from 2 exons. The record is from RefSeq and is a predicted model, not a curated record.
CGAAUGGAUUGAGGUACAGGUGCAAAAGUUUUUAAAACAUUUGAACCACUAAAAGCUUUUUGUUUACUUAUUGUAAGACGUGUGUAGCAACUGUCUUUAUUUAGAUCAAGGUGUGUAUACCAAAGGUUAGCUUAAGAUAAACUUAUUUCUAAAGGGAGUCCUAAUAUGUCACUUGUUACAUCUUUCCUUUUUCAAUUAAUUAAUAAUAUACAAAAUCUGGAUGAUUCGUCUUUUUAACUGUUCGGCCAGAUCGGGUUGUCCCAAUGUUGCCAUUCUCUUGAACACCUGUCAAGUUUUUCUCGGAAUCCCUGCAGGAAAGUGUAUCGCUGUCAAGUUGGGAUCGCUGUGUCGUUUCGCUUUGCUUUUCCUCUUCACUGCUGUCGCAUUCUCUACUGUGGGAUAAACCUCUGCUAGUAUUGUCAUUCGCCUUACGCCGACGUAGAUGCUCCCGAAGUACUUCUGCUGGCGCCCACCGAUGCGAUUUCGGAUCCUGCACUAGAACUUUAUCGCCUUCCGAGAAUCUUGGUGGAUCUUGUGCGCCUCUAUCUGCAUAGGACUUCUGCAACAGUCUUUCUCGUAGUAAUGCAUCUUUCACGUUAGUCACUACCUUGGGUUUCAGCAUGCUGAGUGUCAUUGGUAAAUCAGAUCGGACAAGUCGACCGAAAAGCCUUUCGUUCGGCGAAGGAAUAUUAUCAUUACGUGGAGUGUUUCUAGCAUGCAGCAGGGCCAGAUUAAUAUCUGAUUUAUCCUCGAAGCACUUCUUUAGAAUGUUUUUAGCCACCUGAACGAAUCGUUCAGCCAAACCGUUAGCACGGGGAAAGUGUGGACUUGAAGUUUGGUGUUCGAAAGCCCACGAUUUCGAAAACUCCCGGAAUUUUUCUGAACAAUAUUGUGGGCCGUUAUCUGUUUCCAGAACUUGUGGAAUCCCAUGAAUCGAGAACCAUGAUUUUAGCUCACGAAUGACAUUUUCAGAUGUUGCUUCUGCCAACCGCUUGAAAUCAAAGAAGUUAGAGUAGCUAUCCACGAUUAGAAUAUAAUCGCCGUCACGGAAGUGAAACAAGUCUGAUGCAACUGUUUGAGAUGGCAGGUCCGGAACUUCUUUAGUAAUGAUAAUGUUCUUUACGUUACUACGCUGAUGAUGCUGACACACGUUACAUCCCUCGACCAACUGCUGAAUAUCUCUGUUCAUGUUUAUCCAAAAUAAAAUUUGUUUUGCUCUUCUGA